Molecule: ribosomal RNA, 288 nt
Filed under: Triticum aestivum (bread wheat)
Lineage: Eukaryota; Viridiplantae; Streptophyta; Magnoliopsida; Poales; Poaceae
Description: partial small subunit ribosomal RNA
Source: RNAcentral
AUGAAAUGGAAAAUCUUGCUCAAGAUGCCAAACUACUUGAUUAGCACACAAAUAAUGAUUAUUGCGGCUACCAUGACACUACACAACUACGUCCGUCUCCAUGACAAAGAGGAUCUUCAUUUUCUUCGGUGUGAGAGGGAUCCGGAUUAUGUUACAACUAUUCCGGAGAGAUACAAGAAGUAUGUUAUUCCUCCAAAUGCAUCGGAUGUUUCAACACCGGUGGAAAGUGGUCCUAACAUGGAUUUGUUUAGACACGAACUAGCUACCGCCAUUGCUCUAAGUUGGUGA